RNAcentral lists this ribosomal RNA (253 nucleotides) under uncultured bacterium. RNAcentral describes it as "partial 16S ribosomal RNA". It matches the Rfam family "Bacterial small subunit ribosomal RNA", at positions 524 to 776 of the family's 1533-position model. The record is from RNAcentral.
UACGAAGGGGCUAGCGUUGCUCGGAAUUACUGGGCGUAAAGCGCACGUAGGCGGCUUUCUAAGUCGGGGGUGAAAUCCUGGAGCUCAACUCCAGAACUGCCUUCGAUACUGGAGAGCUCGAGUCCGGGGAGAGGUGAGUGGAACUGCGAGUGUAGAGGUGAAAUUCGUAGAUAUUCGCAAGAACACCAGUGGCGAAGGCGGCUCACUGGCCCGGUACUGACGCUGAGGUGCGAAAGCGUGGGGAGCAAACAGG